RNAcentral lists this ribosomal RNA (2364 nucleotides) under Triticum aestivum (bread wheat). Its description in RNAcentral is "partial small subunit ribosomal RNA". The record is from RNAcentral. Lineage: Eukaryota; Viridiplantae; Streptophyta; Magnoliopsida; Poales; Poaceae.
AUGGACGAUGCCGGCGAGAUGCACGCGUUUGGGCGCAGCCUGCGGGGGGAGAGCUCGGUUUGGUCGCGCGGCAGCGGCGACCUGUUCCCGCGGUCGUCGCCGGACUAUGACGAGGAGGAGGCACUGCGAUGGGCGGCGCUGGAGAAGCUGCCCACCUACGACCGCGCCCGGACGGCGGUGCUGGCCAUGCCGGGGGAGGGGCUUAAGGAGGUGAACGUGGAGAAGCUGAGCGCCCAGGAGAAGCACGCGCUGCUGCAGCUCGUCGCGUGGGUCGGCGACGACCACGAGCGCUUCCUCUCCAAGUUCAAGGACCGCCUCGACCGAGUUGGGAUUCAGCUGCCGACGAUCGAGGUGAGAUACGAGAACCUCAACGUGGAGGCACAGGCGCACGUUGGGAGCAGGGGCCUGCCCACCAUCCUCAACACCUAUGCCAAUCUACUGGAGGGCCUGGCAAAUGCUCUUCACCUAACACCAAACAGGAAGCAGAAGAUACCAAUCCUUCACAAUGUCAGUGGAAUCAUCAAGCCCCACAGGAUGACCUUGCUUUUGGGACCCCCUGGCGCCGGAAAGACCUCACUGCUUUUGGCCUUGGCCGGAACUCUGCCUUCAAGUCUUAAGAUGUCUGGGGACUUAACUUACAAUGGGCAUACUAUGGAUGAGUUUGUGCCACGGAGAUCUGCAGCUUAUGUCAGCCAACAUGAUCUGCACAUGGCCGAACUGACUGUCCGUGAGACAGUCAACUUCUCGGCAAAAUGUCAAGGAAUUGGUCACCGUUUUGACCUGCUAAUGGAGCUAUCCCGGAGAGAAAAGGAACAACACAUCAAACCAGACCCAGAAAUAGAUAUCUACAUGAAGGCUGCUGCAACAGGAGAUCAAAAAGCCGAGGUGGUCAUAAAUCACAUACUAAAGGUCUUAGGGUUGGAUAUCUGUGCUGAUAUAAUGAUAGGAAACAAUAUGUUGCGAGGCAUAUCAGGAGGGCAAAAAAAGAGAGUAACUACAGAUGAGAUGCUCGUCACACCCGGACGAGCCCUUUUCAUGGACGAGAUAUCAACUGGACUUGAUAGCUCGACAACCUUCCAGAUUGUGAACUCCAUCCGACAAACAAUCCACAUUAUUGGUGGAACGGCAGUCAUUGCCUUGCUACAACCUGCACCAGAGACAUAUGAAUUAUUUGAUGAUAUAAUUCUCCUUUCAGAUGGUCAUGUUGUCUAUAAUGGCCCUCGACAAUAUGUUCUCGAGUUCUUUGAAAUAAUGGGAUUCAAAUGUCCCAAGCGAAAAGGCGUAGCUGACUUCCUGCAAGAAGUUACAUCAAUAAAAGAUCAAGGACAAUACUGGAUAAACAAUGAUGAGACAUACAGAUUUGUUCCGGUCAAGGAGUUUGCGGAGGCAUUUCAAUCUUUCCAUGUUGGUCAAGCUAUAAGGAGUGAGUUAUUUGUGCCAUUUGACAAGGACAAAAGUCAUCCCGCAGCUCUGAAAAAAUCACAAUACGGUGCCAGCAUGAAGGAACUACUCAAAGCUAAUAUCAACAGAGAUAUAUUGCUCAUGAAGAGGAAUUCCUUUUUGUAUAUAUUCAAGGCAACCCAGUUGACACUCUUGGCGAUCAUUGCAAUGACCGUAUUUCUGCGCAUCAAUAUGCAUCGUGACUCGGUAACAGAUGGAGGGAUAUACAUGGGUGCUAUCUUCUUUGGGAUCUUGAUGAUAAUGUUCAAUGGGUUUGCAGAAGUAGGUCUAACUACUAUAAAGCUCCCGGUUUUUUUCAAGCAACGAGAUCUUCUCUUCUUUCUAGCAUGGAUAUACUCGUUGACUUCAUGGAUCAUUAAGACCCCCCUAUCCUUGCUCAAUGCAACAAUUUGGGUUGGGAUAACAUACUAUGGUAUCGGAUUUGAUCCCAACAUACAAAGAUUUUUUAGACAGCUCCUACUGCUCUUCUUAGUGAACGAGGCAUUUUCUGGACUCUUCCGCUUCGUUGCUGGCCUUGCAAGGCAUCAUGUUAUUGCAAACACCAUCGCUUCCUUCUGCAUGUUAAAUUUUAUGCUCACUGGUGGAUUCGUCAUGGCAAGAGACAAUGUGAAGAAUUUGUGGAUAUGGGGAUACUGGAUAUCACCCCUGAUGUAUGCACAAAAUGCCCUAUCGGUGAAUGAGUUCCUAGGUCAUAGCUGGAACAAGACAACCCCCAGUUUCAAAAGACCACUUGGAAGACUAGUUCUGGAAUCUCGAGGGAUUUUUCCUAAUACAAAGUGUACUGGAUUGGUGUUGGUGCCUUGCUCGGAUAUGUGCUACUAUUUAAUAUCCUAUACAGUGUUUGCCUCACAUUCCUCAAUCCAUUUGACAACAACCAGCCAACAGUAUCUGAAGAAACAUUGA